Puntigrus tetrazona (Sumatra barb) is the source of this 289-nucleotide long non-coding RNA. RefSeq lists it as uncharacterized. The transcript has 3 exons. Lineage: Eukaryota; Metazoa; Chordata; Actinopteri; Cypriniformes; Cyprinidae. The record is from RefSeq and is a predicted model, not a curated record.
GAUUCAAGUUUGGGUCUGUAUCGCAGUCAACCCUGCGUGGGAAAUUGAAGCACUUUUGGAUGUCCUUCCAAUCAAACAAGCUUUGAUUUCAAUGGCAGGUUUUUUAAUUUCCUGGCUCAGGCUAUUGUGCAGCAGAGAGCAAACUCAAGGUCUGAGGGGAGUCUGUUCGUUUGGGGAGAUAAACAAACAUAUUGAAGGCCAGCAGCACAGGACUCUGGAUAAAAUCAUGCUUUGGUGGAGCCACUGGUGAUGAAUGACCAGGCUUAGAAGAAAGAUAGCAGUAUGCAAG